GAUGAACGCUGGCGGCGUGCCUAAUACAUGCAAGUCGAGCGAACAGACGAGGAGCUUUCUCCUCUGACGUUAGCGGCGGACGGGUGAGUAGCACGUGGAUAACCUACCUAUAAGACUGGGAUAACUUCGUGAAACCGGAGCUAAUACCGGAUAAUAUAUUGAACCGCAUGGUUCAAUAGUGAAAGACGGUUUUGCUGUCACUUAUAGAUGGAUCCGCGCCGCAUUAGCUCGUUGGUAAGGUAACGGCUUACCAAGGCAACGAUGCGUAGCCGACCUGAGAGGGUGAUCGGCCACACUGGAACUGAGACACGGUCCAGACUCCUACGGGAGGCAGCAGUAGGGAAUCUUGCGCAAUGGGCGAAAGCCUGACGGAGCAACGCCGCGUGAGUGAUGAAGGUCUUCGGAUCGUAAAACUCUGUUAUUAGGGAAGAACAAAUGUGUAAGUAACUAUGCACGUCUUGACGGUACCUAAUCAGAAAGCCACGGCUAACUACGUG
Molecule: ribosomal RNA, 497 nt
Filed under: uncultured bacterium
Lineage: Bacteria
Description: partial 16S ribosomal RNA
Rfam family: Bacterial small subunit ribosomal RNA
Source: RNAcentral